UCCAAAACAGAUAAAAUAUACGUCUCCCAAAAUUACCACGUUAAAUCCAUCACCCACAGAAAGAUCGUCACCACCAUCCUGUUGCCGCUGAUCGCUUUCAGAUCGUGUUCGGAAGAAGAUCCUGAUGCAGAGCCUGUUGCAAUUAGAAGAGGCAGAAGAGCUUUGCAUAAGGAAAAUACUCCCUAUACUAGGGAUAAACCUCCACGCUUGAAGGAGAAAAUUAAGACGCAAGUCAAUCGCAUUUUGGUAGAGAAGAAAUAUCUGGAAUCGAAGAAUCCUAAGGAGGGUGCGAAAUACGUAUUACGAUCUGGGGUUCGAGAUGUCAUCAAAUAUGGAUGUGGCAAAGAGAAUAUUGAUCCAAAUUUCAUCAAAUCUGAGCUGGAAGCGAUGGAUAAUGUGAUCGAUGGUGACCAAAGUGGAGAAUUCGAGAUUUCUUAUCAAGCUACUGGGAAUAACAAAACUAUUAAUGAAUUGGUGGAGGAAAAAGGAUUUGUUCAGAUAUGGUAGACGGAUUUAAUUCUUUGAAAUCCAAGUGUGAUGAAGAUACAAAACUCAGUUGAUCUUUUUAUAAAUAAUAUGGGGCAGAUGAGACCUUCGAAGGUCUACGGUUUUUGGGAACAAAAGAGGAAGAAGGCGAGGGCAAAGGAGGUCUCGGUGUGGCUGAAGGUUUUCAUCAGACCCAGUUGAUGCAUGGACGAGGUGUGGGGUCACCCGCCUCAAUGGAGCCAUCAGCCGUAGAAGCAACUGAUGCUUGAAUAAUGGACCAUGAAAUUGAAAGUGAUUCUUAGCAACAUUAUUCUUUUAGAAUGUAUUAGUGUCUUUGUUAGAUUUUGAUGUUUUUUUUUUCCGAUUUGAAAUUUUUUAGUUUUAUUCUUUAGCAAUAAAUGUAAUUCUUAGCAGUUGU
This is a non-coding RNA of Lactuca sativa (garden lettuce), 904 nucleotides long. Lineage: Eukaryota; Viridiplantae; Streptophyta; Magnoliopsida; Asterales; Asteraceae. The record is from RefSeq and is a predicted model, not a curated record.